UUCUGGGAGAACACUUGGGCAUUGAUAUUCCCUCAUUAGCAUCACUUCACACAUCAGGAACGUACCACAGGACGGGACAUAUCUAAAUCUUGGAAAGCUGGGUCCAUUCUAAAAGCUCUUUAUCCCAAAGCCAGGGGUAAUGUAUAAUCUAUUCCAUUUGCAGUAAUUAUAAAUCGCUCCA
Bufo bufo (common toad) is the source of this 181-nucleotide long non-coding RNA. RefSeq lists it as uncharacterized. NCBI's taxonomy places the organism in Eukaryota, Metazoa, Chordata, Amphibia, Anura, Bufonidae. The record is from RefSeq and is a predicted model, not a curated record. The transcript has 4 exons.